CCUACGGGAGGCAGCAGUGGGGAAUAUUGGGCAAUGGGCGCAAGCCUGACCCAGCAACGCCGCGUGAAGGAAGAAGGCCUUCGGGUUGUAAACUACUUUUAUCAGGGACGAAGCAAGUGACGGUACCUGAUGAACAAGCCACGGCUAACUACGUACCAGCAGCCGCGGUAAUACGUAGGUGGCAAGCGUUAUCCGGAUUUACUGGGUGUAAAGGGCGUGUAGGCGGGAAAGUAAGUCAGAUGUGAAAACCAUGGGCUCAACCUGUGGCCUGCAUUUGAAACUGGUUUUCUUGAGUACUGGAGAGGCAGACGGAAUUCCUGGUGUAGCGGUGAAAUGCGUAGAGAUUAGGAGGAACACCAGUGGCGAAGGCGGUCUGCUGGACAGCAACUGACGCUGAGGCGCGAAAGCGUGGGGAGCAAACAGGAUUAGAUACCCCGGUAGUC
Molecule: ribosomal RNA, 443 nt
Filed under: uncultured bacterium
Lineage: Bacteria
Description: partial 16S ribosomal RNA
Rfam family: Bacterial small subunit ribosomal RNA
Source: RNAcentral